AGUGAACGCUGGCGGUAGGCCUAACACAUGCAAGUCGAACGGCAGCACAGUAAGAGCUUGCUCUUACGGGUGGCGAGUGGCGGACGGGUGAGGAAUACAUCGGAAUCUACUUUUUCGUGGGGGAUAACGUAGGGAAACUUACGCUAAUACCGCAUACGACCUACGGGUGAAAGCAGGGGAUCUUCGGACCUUGCGCGAUUGCAUGAGCCGAUGUCGGAUUGGCUAGUUGGCGGGGUAAAGGCCCACCAAGGCGACGAUCCGUAGCUGGUCUGAGAGGAUGAUCAGCCACACUGGAACUGAGACACGGUCCAGACUCCUACGGGAGGCAGCAGUGGGGAAUAUUGGACAAUGGGCGCAAGCCUGAUCCAGCCAUACCGCGUGGGUGAAGAAGGCCUUCGGGUUGUAAAGCCCUUUUGUUGGGAAAGAAAAGCAGCAGGUUAAUACCCCGCUGUUCUGACGGUACCCAAAGAAUAAGCACCGGCUAACUUCGUG
RNAcentral lists this ribosomal RNA (492 nucleotides) under uncultured bacterium. Its description in RNAcentral is "partial 16S ribosomal RNA". It matches the Rfam family "Bacterial small subunit ribosomal RNA", at positions 29 to 507 of the family's 1533-position model. The record is from RNAcentral.